This 740-nucleotide ribosomal RNA is filed under the name uncultured feedlot manure bacterium B82. Its description in RNAcentral is "bacterial SSU rRNA". It matches the Rfam family "Bacterial small subunit ribosomal RNA", at positions 17 to 753 of the family's 1533-position model. Lineage: Bacteria; Bacillati; Bacillota. The record is from RNAcentral.
UCCUGGCUCAGAAUGAACGCUGGCGGCGUGCUUAACACAUGCAAGUCGAASGAAAGCUAUGUAACUUGAGCCUUCUUCGGAAGCGACGAUGUGUAGACUGACGGCGGACGGGUGAGUAACCCGUGAGGAACCUACCUCGGACAGGGGAAUAACCUGAGGAAACUCAGGCUAAUACCCCAUGACCUAUUGAGAGAGCCUUUUCUUAAUAGCAAAGAUUUAUCGGUCUGAGAUGGCCUCGCGUCCCAUUAGCUAGUUGGUGAGAUAACGGCUCACCAAGGCGAUGAUGGGUAGCUGAACUGAGAGGUUGACCGGCCACAUUGGGACUGAGACACGGCCCAGACUCCUACGGGAGGCAGCAGUGGGGAAUUUUGGGCAAUGGGGGAAACCCUGACCCAGCGACGCCGCGUGGAGGAUGAAGGCCUUCGGGUUGUAAACUUCUUUGGCCAGGGACGAUAAUGACUGUACCUGGAGAACAAGCCACGGCUAACUACGUGCCAGCAGCCGCGGUAAUACGUAGGUGGCAAGCGUUAUCCGGAAUUACUGGGUGUAAAGGGCGUGUAGGCGGCCUUACAAGUUGGGUGUUWAAUCCCCGGGCUCAACCCGGGUUUGUCACUUAAAACUGUAAGGCUUGAGGCUCAGAGAGGACAGUGGAAUUCCUAGUGUAGCGGUAAAAUGCGUAGAUAUUAGGAGGAACACCGGUGGCGAAGGCGGCUGUCUGGCUGAGAACUGACGCUGAUGCG